GAUGAACGCUGGCGGCGUGCCUAAUACAUGCGAGUCGAGCGAACGGACGAGAAGCUUGCUUCUCUGAUGUUAGCGGCGGACGGGUGAGUAACACGUGGAUAACCUACCUAUAAGACUGGGAUAACUUCGGGAAACCGUAGCUAAUACCGGAUAAUAUUUUGAACCGCAUGGUUCAAAAGUGAAAGACGGUCAUGCUGUCACUUAUAGAUGGAUCCGCGCUGCAUUAGCUAGUUGGUAAGGUAACGGCUUACCAAGGCAACGAUGCAUAGCCGACCUGAGAGGGUGAUCGGCCACACUGGAACUGAGACACGGUCCAGACUCCUACGGGAGGCAGCAGUAGGGAAUCUUCCGCAAUGGGCGAAAGCCUGACGGAGCAACGCCGCGUGAGUGAUGAAGGUCUUCGGAUCGUAAAACUCUGUUAUUAGGGAAGAACAUAUGUGUAAGUAACUGUGCACAUCUUGACGGUACCUAAUCAGAAAGCCACGGCUAACUACGU
RNAcentral lists this ribosomal RNA (496 nucleotides) under uncultured bacterium. Its description in RNAcentral is "partial 16S ribosomal RNA". It matches the Rfam family "Bacterial small subunit ribosomal RNA", at positions 28 to 506 of the family's 1533-position model. The record is from RNAcentral.